Molecule: ribosomal RNA, 2060 nt
Filed under: Triticum aestivum (bread wheat)
Lineage: Eukaryota; Viridiplantae; Streptophyta; Magnoliopsida; Poales; Poaceae
Description: partial small subunit ribosomal RNA
Source: RNAcentral
ACCCAUCAGCCGCUGUGUUUCAGCCCUUUGACUAGAAGCGCACGCACGCACCCCACCCCCAUCGUCGCCCCUCUCUCUCCCUUCUGACCAACCCGGCCGCCCCCAGUUUCUUCUCCUCUUCUCUCUCCGCGCUGCCGUCCCGACCCCGUCUUCUGCUCCUCCGCUUCACGCGGCGCCGGCCGCCGGCCGCCGGCCGGCCUCCCUCCAAAUCCGUACGCCGAGCGGGCCCUCCCUCCCUUUCGACCUCCUCCCCUGCCGCAGACACUGCCCCCCGUGGUAAGCUGAAAGCCCUAAUCCCGCUCUCUCCCGCCUGAUUCCUUGGCACCACCUCCGAUUCCAUACAAUUGUCGCGUGGGUGCUGCUGGUUGGAGCUCGUGAGAUGCUUUGAGGUCGGGCUGGAGACGGCACUUAAUUCCGAAUUCUUAGGUGUUUCCCGCUGCUUGGCGCUGGCUGAGCUGUGGGGGGAAGGUAGGCCGGCCGGCCUAAGCUUAGUUAUUGACGCUACGAGCUAGCAAAAAUCUGUACUUGCCGCUUCCUUUGCCUUGAAUUAUCUCCCGUCCCGCUGUUGUCCUGCUGUACUUGUUUACUUUUGGAAUUACUUGUGCUACUAUAAGGGAAGAUCCCGUGCCUACAGAUAAUUUGACUCUGAAAAGGUGACGGCUCUGGCCUCGGAGUGAUCUGACACAUAAAGGAUACAGGCGCCCUUAUUACCCUGCUUGAACUAAAGGGGCAACAAAGCGAUUUGUUGUCCUGUUGUUUUGAGCUGGAAAACCCCCGGUAUGGCUGAUGCUAGUUCGAGGACUGACACAUCCAUAGUUGUGGACACUGACGAUAAGAAUCAAAGGAUGGAAAACGGACAAAAUGGAGCUAUCGUGCCUUCUAAUUCAUCUGAACCAUCUGACAGGUCCGACAGGCCUAUGGACCAAAAGGUAUUGCGGAGGCUUGCCCAAAAUCGCGAGGCAGCACGAAAAAGUCGUCUGAGGAAAAAGGCGUAUGUACAACAACUUGAGAGCAGUAAGCUGAAACUUGCAAGCCUGGAACAAGAACUCCAGAAAGCUCGACAGCAAGGAAUCUUCAUUUCUAGCUCUGGGGAUCAAACUCAUGCUAUGAGUGGAAAUGGAGCGAUGACAUUUGAUUUAGAAUAUACUCGAUGGCUAGAGGAGCAAAAUAAGCAGAUAAAUGAGCUGAGGACUGCAGUAAAUGCUCAUGCAAGUGAUAGUGACCUCCGUCUUAUUGUAGAUGGAAUAAUGGCACAUUAUGACGAAAUAUUCAAGCUGAAGGGCGCUGCUGCAAAGGCUGAUGUGUUUCAUAUACUUUCAGGCAUGUGGAAAACACCUGCUGAAAGGUGUUUUUUGUGGCUUGGGGGUUUUCGUUCGUCUGAGCUUCUAAAGCUCGAGCCUCUAACAGAGCAGCAGUUGAUGGGGUUAUCCAGCCUCGAGCAAUCCUCACACCAGGCCGAGGAUGCACUAUCACAAGGAAUGGAGGCAUUGCAGCAAUCUUUGGCUGAAACGUUGGCUGGUUCCCUUGGUCCAUCAGGAUCUUCAGGAAACGUGGCAAACUACAUGGGUCAAAUGGCUAUGGCUAUGGGAAAACUUGGAACCCUUGAGAAUUUCCUUCGCCAGGCUGACAAUCUACGGCAACAAACUUUGCAUCAAAUGCAAAGAAUUCUGACAAUACGGCAAGCUGCUCGAGCUCUCCUUGCAAUACAUGACUAUUUUUCACGUUUGCGUGCCCUGAGCUCUCUCUGGCUUGCAAGGCCACGGGAGUAAAACAUGUGCGCCAUCUUUUGGCGCUUCAUGAGCUGAUCCAAGAAAUGUGGACAAAUUGCGACGCAUUUGCAGAAGAUUGGUGGUUCAGUUCCCUCUGAAAAAUAUAUUGACACCUUGUGUUCUCAUAUUGUACUUCGAUGUUGUACAAGUAGCCAGGUAGGGGUAAGGCUUGUAACUGUAAGUUACCAUGAAUUUAUGAUUGACAUAUUGUACAUUUGUAUUAGCAAUAAAUAAACGUAGAUAAAAGGUCCAAGAGGACCCAUUGAUUGCACCUGUUGGAAGCAAGAAGCG